AUUAUAAUUAAGGCAAUAUGCAAAUUGUUCGUACUUAUAAAUAAAUUAUUUUAAUCAUGCUUAUCAGACUUUAGAAAUUAUAGUAGGUAAAUUCAAGAAACAAACUGGUUUCUCUUCUCAUGAUUAUUAGAAAGUGUAAAAAAAGAGAAAACCUCCCAAAGCUGUCUGUCUACCCCUCCCAACAUAGACUGAUCAAUUCAGGGAGAAGCAGCCUGUUCUGCGUUCUGUUUAAUUGCUAAGCAGAUCCACAACUUGAGUAUGUGGCUUGUUUUCCUGGCCAGGUUGCUGUCCAUUUCCUAGCAGUUUAAAGGUUAAAUGUGCAAAAGCCCAGAAGCGAUCUUAAGUAAGAGUCCGGAAUAAAAGGAGACAAACUCACAAAUUUGGAGACAAGGCUUUGCUUUAAGAUCACUCUCUCUGAGUGUGCUUUUAGUGCGGUGUGGAAAACUUGGCCACAAGAGCUCUGCUGCAGCCACUCUGUAAGAUGAUCAUCUUGAAGUUUUGCUUCUACUGGGGAGGAUUCUUGCAUAGUUGAGGAACAACAAGAGUCACAUGGAAAUGGAUCACUGACAAAACAACUUUGUCAAAAGUCAACAUUCUCCAUGUCAAAAAGCCUCACGUGUGAACUAAAUGCACUCAGAGACGCUUCCCGAGUAGCACUUUGGAGCUUCAGAUGUGAAAUGGAUCAUUCCUCGAUCUGUAAUAGACCCUUCUGUGAAGCUCUUCAAUCAAACCCGAGAAGUCAAGGCUUAAGAAUGAGAACCAUUCUUCCAGUGUCCUUGCAACCAGCCUAACCGUCCCUAUGGCCCAUCCCAGUCUAUUGGCACAUCUGUGUGUACAACUAAAAGUUGAGUAACCAGAAAGUUCACCAGCAAAACCACGCUGUACUUACGGGUACAUCGUCCUAUGUGGAAAAAUGUAAAUCUGGUGCAUGUGUUUAAUAAAAAAAUAUGUGUUAACUUGCAA
This is a long non-coding RNA of Grammomys surdaster, 963 nucleotides long. RefSeq lists it as uncharacterized. NCBI's taxonomy places the organism in Eukaryota, Metazoa, Chordata, Mammalia, Rodentia, Muridae. The record is from RefSeq and is a predicted model, not a curated record. The transcript has 6 exons.